Polyodon spathula (Mississippi paddlefish) is the source of this 2115-nucleotide long non-coding RNA. RefSeq lists it as uncharacterized. Lineage: Eukaryota; Metazoa; Chordata; Actinopteri; Acipenseriformes; Polyodontidae. The record is from RefSeq and is a predicted model, not a curated record. The transcript has 3 exons.
AGAAAAUAACUUGAUUUUAUAUUAGUUACAACUAAAUUACAUUCUUAAUUAUAUUGGGGUCAUUUCAGCACAGGUGAACCAAUGGGGGUUAAAAUGUUAAUGUUCAGUCAAUAAUGUUGGAAAGCCCUGAAACAAACUUUAAAAUGAUAAGGUUUUGUCCAGGUCAACCCCUACAUGGGGAAAAAAGGUCAUGAAAAUGGCCGUUCUCAUCACACGGGGCUUGAGUUACACUAUUCUUAUUUUGCAUGCAGCUGACAACUUUUUCGAUCAUAUGUAGUUGAUGUGCAGUAUCAUAAUCAACCACAAAUGGUGAAAAUUGUUUAUAAAUAUAAAUCGAUUAUUGUUUAGCCUAGGCAAAAAGAAAGCAAUAACACACAAGGGGGCGUUCCAAAUAUGGUUCAAUGCCCACAUGCCUGGGUGUUGUUGAGUGCAAGGAUUCUGGACCACAUUUAAACACCAAGGAGAGUGUUAAUGCUCUUAAAAAAUGGCACAGCCCAUCCUAUUGCACCCCUCCUAAUGUGAACUGGUUGAUAAUUGAAUCAGGAAGAGCGGUUCCAAAAGCUCCAAGUUAUGCUCCUUCUUCCUGCCAGUUAUAAUCGUUUUAAAUGUAUAGCUGUUUUAAAUUAUCAAGUAACAAUUAUAUUUCAUGUGUCAGUCAACUUGAAGUCACAAUAGGAACAACAACCUGUUCUAUGAGGCAUAGACAUAAACAUAAUCUGAACAUUGUUAGUGUAUGUAUGUAUAUAUUUAUAUAUAUAUAUAUAAUCACAGAAAUGUCUGAAAUGUGAUUAUAUAACACAAUGUAGCUAUUUUUUACAAUUCAGUUUAACUCCGAAUUCAGUUUAAGCUAUGCACUCUACGUAUCCUGUGUCUUGUUAGUAUUUUAAACGUAGUUUCUGACCUUUCGUUAUCCACUGAACAACUUUCCCUCGUGUUCUUUAUAGCAAAGGGCUCUUAACUUUCGGAACAGGAAACAUUCUCCCCAGCACAGAACAGAGAAGGGCUCUUUUACUCGAUAUGCAGUCUCCCUCCUUCAGAUAUGUGGGGAAAUUAUUCAACUGAUCUCCAGAAUAGACAACUAAUUUUUUGCACUUUGACCUCCAAGGCUUGAGCAAGAGAAAAGGAAAUUGCACCUCUCCUCUCAGCGCCACUACAGCUCUCACCAGUCACUGCCGGGACAUCCCCACCCGACCUUAUCAACAACCUCGAUCAGCUGCACCUGCAUGCAAUACGACGCCGCAAAGAACAUGGUUUCAAGCCCGCUACAUAUCCACGCGUCCAGGGCACGCCCCUGGUGUGCCAGCCGGCAAUUCCAAGUAGACAUGGCUUCUCGUUCUCAAUCCCCUGAUGGUUGCAACAUUUCAUCCUUUGGUUUGUGCCAACAAUGCUGGAACUGUGUACCACAUGCGCAGCAAGCCAAGACCCUGAUUGGUGUGUUUCUCCCAUCUCUGAUGUCCCUGAAUACCUCUGCAAUUGAACUGUUCCCGGCCCAACAUCAAGAACACAGGAGUGCAGAAGGUGGAGUCCUGUACAGUGGGGGUGGCGCUGGUCUACCAGCCACUGUAGGACAGGCCGAAGGUCAGGAUCCAAUCCUUGUUGUUUCCUCUAUUCUUUGGCUCCGACCAUGGUCAUCUCCUGGCAAGUGACAGCCACAGCCCAACUAAGCGAUGGUUCCUGGCUUGGUUCCUGAUCAUGGCCCUGUCCCGUCCUGGCCAUCGACAGCUCCCUUUCCCAAGCCUCCCUCUUCAUGCAGUGGUUGCACUCCUCUCUGAGGAGGGUCGGUGGGAAAGGGCAUCCGGAUUGAUGUGGCGAGCUCCAGCCCAGUUCUGGAUCUUAAAAUGGAAGGGCUGGAGAUGCUCAAUCCAUCAGGCGACCUGCCCUUCCUAAGACAGCACAGCUCCGAGCCCCUCAUUGCUGGUGUCCGUGUCCAGGAGGAAUGGUAGGCUGAGAUCUGUGGGUUGAGCACCGGGGACUGUGUUAGCACCUCCCAGAGGGUGUGAAACGCAGCCUGACAUUCCUCUGUCCAUUCAAGGGGUUUUCCCUUGUGCAGCAGAUGGUGCAGUGAUGAUGGUAGUCCCAGACAAAGCAGCAAUAGUAGGAGGCCAGGCCCAGGAA